CAAUAAGCAAGAACUGCCACAAUCAGGCCAAAGACUCCAUUUUGCUGCCUUCUAUAAAAAAAAAACAACGGUUACAAGCGCUGUUUCUGAGAAGCUGAAAUGAAAGCUGUUUUCUGUACUUUGUACCCCACAGGAUGUACCCCACAGGAUGUGGUGGUCUUGGUGACCCAAGGCUUUGAAGUAGAUUCUCGCCCCUGCGGACCACCUGCUCGGACUCAGGAUACGGUGUCCCACCUGCUCAGACCCUAGAUGCGACGUCUGAGUUGCUGGGCUGGUUGCCGCCUUAGCUUCCACGACUGGCUUGCUCGCAUGACACCAAGGAAAGUCCCCGAGCUGUGAUUUUCGUCCUUGAUUCCCAAGACCCAGCCCAGGAAGUCGCUGGUCUCCCCCCGGAGCUCCAGUCUCUGGGGUGGGUGACGGCACCCGGCCAGGAAACAAAGUGUCUUUGAUCUGAACUUGGAUUUAGAGUGUUUCUGAAGCGGGUCCCUAACACUGGCCACCACUCGGGUGUUCCUGGGCCCCUCGGGGGCUACGACCCACUGGGACAGGAACACGUGAGCGCACCUGGAAAGCGGUCCGGCCAGUCCCGUGGUUGAACUUGAACGUGGGGCUGGACCUGUGGUCACUCUUCUCAGGACGCGAUCGAGUUCUUCAAAUAAAUACUGUGAAUCUUCU
This 675-nucleotide long non-coding RNA is filed under the name Marmota monax (woodchuck). Lineage: Eukaryota; Metazoa; Chordata; Mammalia; Rodentia; Sciuridae. The record is from RNAcentral.